CAAUAGCGUAUAUUAAAGUUGUUGCAGUUAAAAAGCUCGUAGUUGGAUUUCUGGUCGGAAGCUCCUGUCCUCUGAUGAGCGUACAAGUGCGUCCUACCAUCCUUCUGUUAACCUUUAAGGCUUUCGCGGCUUUCUAGGGGCUCAGAUAUUUUACCUUGAGAAAAUUAGAGUGUUUCAGGCAGGCUAGCGCCGGAAUACAUUAGCAUGGAAUAAUGGAAUAGGACUUUUGCCUCUUCUGUUGGUCAUGAGGCUCGAGUAAUGAUUAAUAGGGAUAGUUGGGGGCAUUAGUACUUAACUGUCAGAGGUGAAAUUCUCGGAUUUGUUAAAGACUAACUUGUGCGAAAGCAUUUGCCAAGGAUGUUUNCAUUA
This 369-nucleotide ribosomal RNA is filed under the name uncultured eukaryote. RNAcentral's name for it is "partial 18S ribosomal RNA". It matches the Rfam family "Eukaryotic small subunit ribosomal RNA", at positions 592 to 975 of the family's 1831-position model. The record is from RNAcentral.